Molecule: ribosomal RNA, 464 nt
Filed under: uncultured bacterium
Lineage: Bacteria
Description: partial 16S ribosomal RNA
Rfam family: Bacterial small subunit ribosomal RNA
Source: RNAcentral
GACGAACGCUGGCGGCGUGCUUAACACAUGCAAGUCGAACGGAAAGGCCCUGCUUGCAGGGUACUCGAGUGGCGAACGGGUGAGUAACACGUGGGUGAUCUGCCCUGCACUUCGGGAUAAGCCUGGGAAACUGGGUCUAAUACCUGAUAGGAGCCAUUUUUAGUGUGAUGGUUGGAAAGUUUUUUCGGUGUAGGAUGAGCUCGCGGCCUAUCAGCUUGCUGGUGGGGUAAUGGCCUACCAUGCGGCGACGGGUAGGCGGCCUGAGAGGGUGGACCGCCACAUUGGGACUGAGAUACGGCCCAGACACCUACGGGAGGGAGCAGUGGGGAAUAUUGCACGAUGGGCGCAAGCCUGAUGCAGAGACGCCGCGUGGGGGAUGACGGCCUUAGGGUUGUAAACUCCUUUCGCUAGGGACGAAGCUUUUUGUGACGGUACCUAGAUAAGAAGCACCGGCUAACUACGUG